Molecule: ribosomal RNA, 404 nt
Filed under: uncultured bacterium
Lineage: Bacteria
Description: bacterial SSU rRNA
Rfam family: Bacterial small subunit ribosomal RNA
Source: RNAcentral
UGGGGAAUAUUGCGCAAUGGGGGAAACCCUGACGCAGCAACGCCGCGUGGAGGAAGAAGGUCUUCGGAUUGUAAACUCCUGUCUUCUGGGACGAUAAUGACGGUACCAGAGGAGGAAGCCACGGCUAACUACGUGCCAGCAGCCGCGGUAAUACGUAGGUGGCGAGCGUUGUCCGGAAUUACUGGGCGUAAAGGGCGCGUAGGCGGUUCUUUAAGUUAGAUGUGAAAACCCGAGGCUUAACUUCGGGACUGCAUUUAAAACUGAAGGGCUUGAGUGCAGGAGAGGUAAGUGGAAUUCCUAGUGUAGCGGUGAAAUGCGUAGAUAUUAGGAGGAACACCAGUGGCGAAGGCGACUUACUGGACUGUAACUGACGCUGAGGCGCGAAAGCGUGGGGAGCAAACAGG